AGAGUGAACGCUGGCGGCAGGCCUAACACAUGCAAGUCGAACGGCAGCACAGGGGAGCUUGCUCCCUGGGUGGCGAGUGGCGGACGGGUGAGGAAUACGUCGGAAUCUGCCUAUUUGUGGGGGAUAACGUAGGGAAACUUACGCUAAUACCGCAUACGACCCUGGACCGGGAGGUUGGGGGUGAAAGCGGAGGACCUUCGGGCUUCGCGCAGAUAGAUGAGCCGACGUCGGAUUAGCUAGUUGGCGGGGUAAAGGCCCACCAAGGCGACGAUCCGUAGCUGGUCUGAGAGGAUGAUCAGCCGCACUGGAACUGAGACACGGUCCAGACUCCUACGGGAGGCAGCAGUGGGGAAUAUUGGACAAUGGGCGCAAGCCUGAUCCAGCCAUGCCGCGUGUGUGAAGAAGGCCUGGUGUAAGCACUUUGUUGGUAGAAAGCCGAGGUUAAGUACCUGGGUCAUGACGGUACCAAGAAUAAGACACCGCUAAC
This 487-nucleotide ribosomal RNA is filed under the name uncultured soil bacterium. RNAcentral describes it as "bacterial SSU rRNA". It matches the Rfam family "Bacterial small subunit ribosomal RNA", at positions 26 to 501 of the family's 1533-position model. The record is from RNAcentral.